GGAUCAUUACUGAGUGAUUACAACUCUCCAACCCUUGCGAAUCUACCGUGUUGCCUCGGCGGGAGGCGACGGGGAGGUUGGCGGAACUUCGCCCGGCCCUGGAGCCGGGGAUCUGACCCCACCCUUCCCCGCGCGCCGGAACCCCGCCGGAGGACCCACCAAACUCUUGACUUACAAUGUAUCUCUGAGACACUACCAAAAUAGUUAAAACUUUCAACAACGGAUCUCUUGGUUCUGGCAUCGAUGAAGAACGCAGCGAAAUGCGAUAAGUAAUGUGAAUUGCAGAAUUCAGUGAAUCAUCGAAUCUUUGAACGCACAUUGCGCCCGCCAGCAUUCUGGCGGGCAUGCCUGUUCGAGCGUCAUUAAAUCCCUCAGGCCCCCCGGGCCUGGCGUUGGGAGACUGCAUUCCCGCAGCUCCCCAAAGUCAGUGGCGGAGCUGGUUCGCACCGUAAGCGUAGUAGAAAUCCUCUCGCUUGCGCGGUCGUGCCGGCCCCUGCCGUAAAACACCCCAUCUCAAGUGGUUGACCUCGGAUCAGGUAGGAAUACCCGCUGAACUUAAGCAUAUCAAUAAGCGGAGGAAAAGAAACCAACAGGGAUUGCCCCAGUAACGGCGAGUGAAGCGGCAACAGCUCAAAUUUGAAAGCUGGCCUUCGGGUCCGCAUUGUAAUUUGCAGAGGAUGCUUCUGGCGCGGUGCCUUCCGAGUUCCCUGGAACGGGACGCCUUAGAGGGUGAGAGCCCCGUACGGUCGGACACCAAGCCUAUGUGAAGCUCCUUCGACGAGUCGAGUAGUUUGGGAAUGCUGCUCUAAAUGGGAGGUAAAUUUCUUCUAAAGCUAAAUACCGGCCAGAGACCGAUAGCGCACAAGUAGAGUGAUCGAAAGAUGAAAAGCACUUUGAAAAGAGGGUUAAAUAGCACGUGAAAUUGUUGAAAGGGAAGCGUUUGCGAUCAGACCUUYGCCGGGCGGAUCAUCCGGUGUACUCACCGGUGCACUUCGCCCGGCGGCUGCCAGCAUCGGUUUCCGCGGGGGGAUAAAAGCGGGGGGAACGUAGCUCCCUCGGGAGUGUUAUAGCCCCCCGCAUAAUGCCCUCGCGGGGACCGAGGACCGCG
RNAcentral lists this ribosomal RNA (1108 nucleotides) under Xylariaceae sp. genotype 358. Its description in RNAcentral is "eukaryotic LSU rRNA". The stretch from base 523 to 1108 matches the Rfam family "Eukaryotic large subunit ribosomal RNA", at positions 1 to 597 of the family's 3401-position model. The record is from RNAcentral. Lineage: Eukaryota; Fungi; Ascomycota; Sordariomycetes; Xylariales; Xylariaceae.